AGAGCGUAAGGGGAAUACCUUGGCUCUCAGAGGCGAUGAAGGACGUGAUAAGCUGCGAUAAGUUGCGGGGAAUGGCACAAACAUUUUGAUCCGCAAAUUUCCGAAUGGGGCAACCCGGCAUAUUGAAGAUAUGUCACACUGUAAAGUGAGCAAACCUGGUGAACUGAAACAUCUAAGUAACCAGAGGAAUAGAAAACAAAAGUGAUUCCGCUAGUAGUGGCGAGCGAACGUGGAAUAGCCCAAACCUAAAUUGUUACGGCAAUUUAGGGGUUGUAGGACCUCAACAUUUAAUGCUAAUAGAACUAGAAUUUACUGGAAAGUAAAACCAAAGAAGGUGAUAGUCCUGUAUAGGUAAUUGAUGUUAUUAAUAGAGGUAUCCUGAGUAGUACGGAGCACGUGAAACUUUGUAUGAAUUUGCCAGGACCAUCUGGUAAGGCUAAAUACUCCUGAGAGACCGAUAGUGAACUAGUACCGUGAGGGAAAGGUUAAAAGUACCCUGAAUAAGGGAGUGAAAUAGAUCUUGAAACCUUACGCUUACAAGCGGUCGGAGCCCAUUUAUGGGUGACGGCGUGCCUUUUGCAUAAUGAGCCUACGAGUUACCUUUGCUAGCAUGGCUAAUCCGUUAAGCGGAGCAACCGAAGCGAAAGCGAGUCUGAAUAGGGCGUUUAGUUAGCAGUGGUAGACGCGAAACCUAGUGAGCUAUCCAUGGGCAGGUUGAAGCUGUAGUAACAUACAGUGGAGGACCGAACCCGUAGACGUUGAAAAGUCUUGGGAUGACCUGUGGAUAGGGGUGAAAGGCCAAUCAAACUAGGAAAUAGCUCGUACUCCCCGAAAUGCAUUUAGGUGCAGCGUUACAUUAAGUUACAUAGAGGUAGAGCUACUGAUUGGAUGCGGGGGUGUCACAACCUACCAAUUCCUGACAAACUCCGAAUGCUAUGUAAUGUUUUGUGGCAGUGAGGGCAUGGGUGCUAAGGUCCAUGUCCGAGAGGGAAACAACCCAGACCAUCAGCUAAGGUCCCAAAAUAUAUACUAAGUUGAAUUAAACGAGGUUUGACUACCUAGACAGCUAGGAUGUUGGCUUGGAAGCAGCCAUUCAUUUAAAGAGUGCGUAACAGCUCACUAGUCGAGAGGUCGAGCAUGGAUAAUAAUCGGGCAUAAGUAUAUUACCGAAGCUAUGGCAUUAUUUAUAAUGGGUAGGGGAGCAUUCUAUUGACGUUGAAGGUGAACUGUGAGGUUUGCUGGAGUUUAUAGAAACGAAAAUGUAGGCAUAAGUAACGAUUAGGGGUGCGAGAAACACCCCCUCCGAAAAACUCAGGUUUCCUCAGCUAUGCUAAUCAGCUGAGGGUUAGUCAGGACCUAACACGAACCCAAAUGGGGUAGUGGAUGGACAACCAGUUAAUAUUCUGGUACCUGCUUAACAACAAAAGCGACGGAAAAGAAAUGUUAUUGCGUACUGACGGAAUAGUACGUUGAAAUUACUUUUAAGGUAAUGAUAGUACAUCAAAUCUACGGAUGAGGUGAUAAUAUAGCGGAUCUUUUUCCAAGAAAAACAAGUUAAGCAGCCUGUACCUUAAACCGACACAGGUAGUUGGGAUGAGGAUUCUAAGGAGCUCGAGAGAUUCAUGGCUAAGGAACUAGGCAAAUUUGACCCGUAACUUCGGGAUAAGGGUCGCCUACUUUUAGUAGGCCGCAGUGAAAAGGUCCAAGCGACUGUUUAUCAAAAACACAGGACUCUGCUAAGUCGAAAGAUGAUGUAUAGGGUCUGACACCUGCCCGGUGCCGGAAGGUUAAGUGGAAAUGUUAGCUUCGGCAAAGCAUCGAAAUGAAGCCCCGGUAAACGGCGGCCGUAACUAUAACGGUCCUAAGGUAGCGAAAUUCCUUGUCGGGUAAGUUCCGACCUGCACGAAUGGUGUAACGAUUUGGACACUGUCUCAGCCAUGAGCUCGGUGAAAUUGUAGUAUCGGUGAAGAUGCCGAUUACCCGCAACGGGACGGAAAGACCCCGUGAACCUUCACUACAACUUAACAUUGAUUUCGGAUAAAUAAUGUGUAGAAUAGGUGGGAGACUUUGAAGCAACUUCGUUAGGAGUUGU
Molecule: ribosomal RNA, 2092 nt
Filed under: marine metagenome
Description: bacterial LSU rRNA
Rfam family: Bacterial large subunit ribosomal RNA
Source: RNAcentral